RNAcentral lists this transfer RNA (71 nucleotides) under bacterium. RNAcentral's name for it is "tRNA-Gln". It matches the Rfam family "tRNA". From Rfam's summary of the family: Transfer RNA (tRNA) molecules are approximately 80 nucleotides in length. Their secondary structure includes four short double-helical elements and three loops (D, anti-codon, and T loops). Further hydrogen bonds mediate the characteristic L-shaped molecular structure. tRNAs have two regions of fundamental functional importance: the anti-codon, which is responsible for specific mRNA codon recognition, and the 3' end, to which the tRNAs corresponding amino acid is attached (by aminoacyl-tRNA synthetases). tRNAs cope with the degeneracy of the genetic code in two manners: having more than one tRNA (with a specific anti-codon) for a particular amino acid; and 'wobble' base-pairing, i.e. permitting non-standard base-pairing at the 3rd anti-codon position. The record is from RNAcentral. RNAcentral also lists the same sequence under 1 other name.
UCGGGGAUCGUCUAAUGGUAGGACAGUGGCCUUUGGAGCCAUUAAUCGAGGUUCGAAUCCUUGUCCCCGAG